This 710-nucleotide ribosomal RNA is filed under the name uncultured bacterium. RNAcentral describes it as "bacterial SSU rRNA". It matches the Rfam family "Bacterial small subunit ribosomal RNA", at positions 620 to 1328 of the family's 1533-position model. The record is from RNAcentral.
GGGUCAUUGGAAACUGGGAGACUUGAGUACAGAAGAGGAGAGUGGAAUUCCACGUGUAGCGGUGAAAUGCGUAGAUAUGUGGAGGAACACCAGUGGCGAAGGCGACUCUCUGGUCUGUAACUGACGCUGAGGCGCGAAAGCGUGGGGAGCAAACAGGAUUAGAUACCCUGGUAGUCCACGCCGUAAACGAUGAGUGCUAGGUGUUAGGGGUUUCGAUGCCCUUAGUGCCGAAGUUAACACAUUAAGCACUCCGCCUGGGGAGUACGACCGCAAGGUUGAAACUCAAAGGAAUUGACGGGGGCCCGCACAAGCAGUGGAGCAUGUGGUUUAAUUCGAAGCAACGCGAAGAACCUUACCAGGUCUUGACAUCCUUUGACCACCCUAGAGAUAGGGCUUUCCCCUUCGGGGGACAAAGUGACAGGUGGUGCAUGGUUGUCGUCAGCUCGUGUCGUGAGAUGUUGGGUUAAGUCCCGCAACGAGCGCAACCCUUGAUCUUAGUUGCCAGCAUUCAGUUGGGCACUCUAAGGUGACUGCCGGUGACAAACCGGAGGAAGGUGGGGACGACGUCAAAUCAUCAUGCCCCUUAUGACCUGGGCUACACACGUGCUACAAUGGAUGGUACAAAGAGCAGCAAAACCGCGAGGUCGAGCCAAUCUCAUAAAGCCAUUCUCAGUUCGGAUUGUAGGCUGCAACUCGCGUACAUGAAGCCG